CUUCCCCAGGAAUCUCCAUAUAACACCGAGAAGAAAAACCACCCAUCAAGCUCCUGUGGCCCAAGUCUCCAGAGAGUCUCCCUUUUCCCAUCUCAGUGCAGGGGCAAAUCAAUUUUACAGGACCAGGAACUGUCUUUCUAUGCUAUCCGAUCUCCUAUUAAUGACAUCCCCCUUUUAUUCAGUCGCUCUAACUGCAAGCUAAGCAUAUUCUCUGUUAAAUCCUCAAGUAACUCUCUGGGGUUGUAAAGUUUCAUUAUAAUUUUACAGAGACUGAAACCUAGAGAAGUGGGCUCCCUAGCCAGUAAAUGGCAGAUCUGGGCUUCAUGUCACAUUCUGGAUGAAACCUUGAAGCCCAUGGUUUUAACCAAAAUGCUUUGCUAGAAAAUGAUAUAUUGUAUUGAUCCCAAAUCCGCCUUUUCUAUAACUCCUGAUGAACAGCCCCCACUCUGUUCUCCAGGGAGACGACAACAACUCGGACCCUUUCCUUAUGACAUUAUCUUCCAAUACCGGAAGACAGAAACCACGUGAGUCUCACCUGCCCAGCCUUCUUCCUCCUCAGUCAAUCACAGCAGGUGCAAAAGGUACCCAGAAGAGAAUGCAUGUUCAUCUGACUCAAGAUGAAGCCACUGAAUGUUUCAUUUCACUGGAACCAUGAAGCUUCCAUUCUGCACCGAGCUACAUGCUGAGUCCCUAAUAGUCACACAGGAAGGCAAAAGUACCUGGGAGUGUGUUACCCAGGGCCUCAGGCGGCAGAUAUCCUGUUUACACAAGGACAAUCUAUGCAGCACCUCAGGGAACCCACCCGGCAAGCCUGGCACUAACCAGCAGCCUUGCUGCACCCACACCCAGCACCUGAAGCCAAAAGAGCAACGCCUACUGGAGGAGAAAGAUGGCCAUUUGUUCCACCCCACCAGAGCAGCACUGGCCCCAGUACGCACACACUGAGUGCACACAGGGCAGCAGCAGGGAGCAUGGGGACCCAGGAGGCUACCUAGAGAGGCCCAGCUUGCAGCCUCUGCCCCAGCCAAACUGCAAAGCAGGGGUGGGGUCUCAUCCCACCUCCACCGC
RNAcentral lists this long non-coding RNA (1068 nucleotides) under Fukomys damarensis (Damara mole-rat). Its description in RNAcentral is "lncRNA (ENSFDAG00000025128.1)". The record is from RNAcentral. Lineage: Eukaryota; Metazoa; Chordata; Mammalia; Rodentia; Bathyergidae.